This 7578-nucleotide long non-coding RNA is filed under the name Lactuca sativa (garden lettuce). RNAcentral describes it as "long non-coding RNA (LSAT_LNC007888)". Lineage: Eukaryota; Viridiplantae; Streptophyta; Magnoliopsida; Asterales; Asteraceae. The record is from RNAcentral.
UAUGAGGAAACGGACGGACGUUGUUCUCAUUCAUUUAAUUUCCCGUCGGUUACGUCUCAUCCCUUAUCCCAAAUUAAAUUGUUAUCGUUCUUCUUGGCCUAUGGUUCUUGAGACGAGAGAGGGUGUUGGGGGUCUUUCCGGCAACUACCUGCUACUCCGAUCACCACCUUCCUUUCCUCCAAACUGAUUCAGCGAAGUCGUGAAAAAACCGAAUGAACAAUAAGGAGAAAAAGGGGUUGUGACUGUGAAGCUUUCUGGCGACGACUAGGGUUUCGGCAUGAGUCUUUUGAGGUAGCGGGUUUGUUGAGACUCUAUCUAACCAUUUAGUUAUCACAGUGCAUGGCUGAUGUCGAUUGUACCAUAAUGAUGUGAACGUCGAUGUGUAUGUGGUUGAAUUCAGUAGAUAAAACGAGCCUGUAUUUGAGGCGUGUCUUCUUCCAAAGAGUUGUCUUCUUACUAACUGUUGUUGAUCGAGAUGAUGGAUUUCGUGGGAUCGAUGAUUAUCUUCAGUCAACAAAAGAUACAUCACAUAAAUGAACGUUCUUGAGUACAUGUGCUCGUGAGGGACCAUGAGAAGGUUAUUGUGCAACAGUCCUUAUAUAUUUGCUAAGGUAACUUCAUUAUUUUAAUCAUGGAAAAUAAUUCUAGUGGUAAAGUCAUGCAAAUGUGGCUGUAAUAUAUGAGGGUGUUUUCAUGAAAUGUGCAUCAUUACAAACCAUACAUUAAGGUAGUAAUUGAUAUAUAGUCAUUUACGUCAAAGAAGUAAACUGAAAUUGUACAAAAAUGAAGAAGUAAACUAUUUAUAGUAAUAAUUUCCAGUCGGGAUAAUAUAUAAUUGAUUAGGACGUAGAAUUAUAUUAAAUCCUAAUUAUCGUGAUAUAACAUGAUUCACCUUGGGACAAAAAUUCAUAUUAAUAUAGCAAGUGAUGGAGUGAAAACUUAUUAAUAGUGAAUUUACUUUAUAAUUAGAAUUGUGGGAAUAACAUGUUGACGUUGUUGUAGGAUGUCCACUUGAAUUGGUAAUUUGUAAACAAGUUUCAAUUUGCCAAAUUGUUAACCAGAAUAACCUUUGACAUUAUAUUACGUAAAUGAUAUUUGUAUAACAGAGAUUCUUUCAUUGGAAUGGACAUAUAUGGUUUACCUUGGUAAAUAAAUAUGAUGGUGAGAAAUUAUAUAAUUAUGGUGGGAUGAAGUUUUAAUGGUUUUAGUGGCUUAAACCUGUGAAUGGUCUAAAUUACGCAUGAUCGUGUUAUAAAUAAUAAUAAUAAUAUUAAACAACGAUGGGUAGAUUAUUAAAUUAUAAUCACAAGUAGUAACGGUUAUGACUACGAAGUUGUAAUUACUUAGUGAUAAAGUUAUAUGUGUUAAGAGGGGAGGAUUUGGCAACUUCAAGUGAACACGAGACUUGAAGUAGUAAAGAUGGAUUCGUCGAGGAAUAAGGUGAGUACUUGUUAGGAAUAAGCUAGGUGAGUCAAUCUUUAUAGUUAUUUAAAGUACUUGUUAAGAAUUCCACAUUUUAGAGGGAUUGGAAUGAACCUAGAAUGUUUAGGUUGCAUGUACCCCAAAUGUGAAUGAUAUGUUGAUGUGAAUGAUGUUUCUUUCAUGCUCUUCUUUUGUUUGCUAUUUUGAUGUGAAGGGUGUGAUAGGUCCAUGAUAAAAUUAAGGAUUUGUGAUAGUUGUGUGUGGUAUGUGCAUGCUAUGAUUUUUUGGAAAUACUUGUCUAUGUUGGUUAGGACAAUACAUGCUAGUGAUAUAAUAUGCCUUAACGAUGAAAUGAUGAUAUGUGCAUGAUUAUAUGAAGUUGUAAAAUGCCUAAAAUUGUUAUGUCUUGUUGCAUGUUUAUGUGUUUUGAAGUAUGGAAGUAAUAUGCUAGUUAAUAUUAAUAGAAAUUGAGCAUGAUUACUUAAGGAGGUUUGUAGUGUAAUCAUUGUGUGAUGAAUUAAUAAUAUGUUAAAUAAAAAAGGGAAUACACCACUGGGGCGUAAAUGGUAGCAACCUAGACUUAGGUGUGUGUACCCUAUCCAGAUAUUUGUGAGGGCCUUAUAGGUUGAAAGAUACCUAAAGGGAAAGAUCUUAAGGCAAUAGUGAUGCAUAGUGGUUUUUUUAGACAACCAUUCGAGACAUGGUUCAUGAACACUAAGGUGUUCGAGGACUGGAUGGGAAGUUUCUAGUGAUAGGAAACAAUGAUAAUUACCACCCUCGAACGACAAUGCGUGUACUUGUAUGUGCAAUGCCAGAGUAGUGAUUAGUGAACGCAACAAAACGGGAGCAAUGUUACGAGUGAGAGUCGCGUCUCACUUAGUGCAUUGAGUCGAGUCGGUCACGUUAGUAGUGAAUGAGGUUUUUACCUCUUGGGUUAGUGAUGGACCCAGGGUUAGUGAUAGACCCAUUGAGGGAAGGGUUAGGCUGGUGUAACGCCCGUAGAUCCGGGCUAGUCAAUUUAGAGAUAAUAGGGGUCGAAAACGACUUUUUGACAAAAUAUUAUUUAGAAUAAAUGAUCUUAACCAAGUUGUAGAAUAUGUCUCAAGGGUUCCGUACAUAUAAAGAACGCCGAAAUCCGAGUUAUAACGAAGAAGUUAUGGCUCGUCGAAGUUUUUCGGCAAAACCGACACGACACCGGGAGACGUAAAUAGUGAAGUUACAUUGGAGGACUUUUUAGCCUUAGUAAUAUAAACCAAAUUUGUAGUAUACGUAAAACAGAGAACAUCCAUAAAAAGAACGCCCAAAUCUGACUUCGUAUGAGGAAGUUAUGAUUUUUCUAAGAUUUGACAUAGCAGUGCACGACCUGAAACUUGAAUUUUAGUUCGAACGGUUUUUGGCUUACGCAACCUUAAUGAGAUUUGAAGAUCUCAUUAAUAGGAACCCAACGGUAAAAAGAUAGACGAAAACGGAGUCUGUAUGAAGGAGUUAUGAAUUCUCCGCGGUCAUUUAACAGUCUAAUCUUCUCCUACUGUUAAAUUUAAGAUCGGCUGAGAACUAGAAAACGGAGUCCAAAUGAAAGUUGUAGAUCUUGUUAUUACCUACGCAUGGAAAAAAAGAACGUCAAAAACGGAGUUCGUAUGCGAAAGUUAUGAAUUUUUGAAAAUCGGCUGAUUUCCACCCUGUGUGCGUCGCCACGUGUCAACACCAGGCGAAACCUUGGAGCCUACGCAACACCACGACAUGGUGAGGGCCACCACGACAUGGUGACGUUCCAGGAGCACUAUAAAUAGAGGUGCCGGGGCAACCCUCAACCUCACACCUUCACCCCUUCUUUCUCUCUCUAGAAACUCUCUCUUAAACCUCCCAAAACCCCCCAAAAAGCCCAGGGAACCCCCUAGCACGAGGCGGAAGCCCCGGAGCGCCUGACGGCUUCGAAAGGAAGAGCCUUCAGCUCAGAAACUCUACUCCGGCGGAGCCCGGUUUCUAAGGAAACCCGCUGUAAGUGAGCUAUACCUACCCUAUCUUUAGUAUAACUUAUGUUUUAAUAUAGUAACAUUAUUUGGAACUUAUAAUGAGUAUUUGGGCUAUUAUUAUGAGUUAUAUAAGAGUGUUUCUUAACGCUUAUAUAAUAGUAAUAAUAUCUAGACUAUUAAUUAGUCGUGGUUAACGUUAGACUAAACUCUAGUGGUAAUGAUACUAGGUUUUGUCCGAUGGAAAUUGUUUUAACAGUAACGAAGUGCUGUUCGAGUACCGAGUCAUCACCUUAUCAGGUGAGUGCAUGGUCCCUUUCAUCUUACACAUAGAUAUGAAGUAUUUUAUAUAAAUUACGUGCUGUGUGUGCAUAUUAUCUGAAUACUCGCUGUCUAUGCUGGAUGAACGAUUUUAUACAUGUUUUAAAUGAUUUAAAUUGUAUAUGUAUUUUAUAUCUACGAUAAUGUUGGGGCAUAACAUGGGUAGAUGUAAUAGAUGGAAUAUGAGUUGGAUGAUGAGUUGAGAGGUGUUAUAGACUACGAGGUGAGGGUGAGGGGUGGACAAUGUGAGAAGACUUUUCCCAAACGAUGGACCCAUCAUUCAGUAGAGUAUUGAUGACAACCACAGGCUAUUCUAUACAGUCCUGUGGAACACUAGCAGGCUCGCAACUUGUAGGNUGCCUAAACCUUGGCGAUCAUGCAGACUUGAUGCCUAAACCCUGGCGACUAUGUAGACUUAGUGCCCGUUGUGUAAACCUUGGCGAUCAUGCAAACUUGAUGCCUAACCCAUGGCGACUAUGCAGACUUAGUGCCUGUUGUGUAAACCGUGGCAACGAUGGACUUCGUGCCGAUUCCUUAGGAUGAUCCUUAGGAAUGAAUGAACGAGGAAUAGCUGAUUCUUAGGGUAGAUCCUUAAGACUAAAGAAGAUAAUGGGGAUGGGUAAUUGGGUUGAUUGUUUGAUUGUUUAAACAUAAUAAUUAUAUUAUUGUGGGUUGAAAACCCUAUGUACUCACCAGGUUUCCCAACCUGACCCACUCAGUUUAUUUAUAUCACAGGUGUUGAUAUGAAGUCACAUUACACUGAGUGAUUAAAGAGAAGUAGAUCACUAGUGUAAAUAAAUGUAAGUUCCGUUUAUGCUUAUGUUUUUGUAUUGACGAUGACAUCCCAAACGUUUUAAAAUGAAUAAAAUACGUUUCUUCAAAAAUGUUUUGAUAACGUAUUUAUCGUGUUUUUCUGGGAACAAAUUCCGCAACAUUUUUAUUAAAAGAAGUACUCUGAUUUUUAUAAAGCAUAAAAAAAUCGGUUUUUUUUGGGCGUGAAAAAUGGGGAUGUCAAAGCCAGUCACUUAUUAGUGAACGGGUUUUGCCUUUAGGUUAGUGAUGGACCUACAUGUGGGGUGUCUACCUUACGAGUUAGUGAUGGACCCAUGUGUGGGGAGUCUACCUUACGGAUUAAUGAUGGACCCAAGGAUAGGAAUAAUUAAUAUUUAUCUAAUAUUAAAAAAAUAAAUAAUAACAGUUGACCUUAAUGAGACUAUAGUGAUGUAUAUGAUGUGAGUGAUGCAUGUGAAGUAUGUGAUGCACGUGAUGUAUAUGUUGUAUGCGACGUGUGUGAUGAUAUGCUAUAUGUGUUUUUCCUAACAUUGUACUUCUGGUUGACUCACUUAGCAUUUGUUGACACUUGUUUCUUUGCUUUUUGUUGCCUUGUAUUGAUAUAUGUAGCAUAGUUUGAUAGCUUGGUGAGGAUGGAGCUUUGGAUAGUUACAUUCGAGUUUAUGUCUUAGUAUUGGUAUCAUUUGGACAUAUCGUUAAGUUUACUUAACACUUGUUUUUGAUAUUUUAUUUUAAUUUGGUUUAUGAACUUUAUCUUGAUUAAUGAUGUUUUCAUAAAGCUCAAAAUAAAACUUCCGCUAACGUAUUCUGUUAACUAAAUGUUUUAAAAAAUAAAAAAAUUAGGUGACAAAUCAUGAUGUUACGUCCUCCUCCAAACUUCUUGGAACAAGUCUUCGAGUAUCUGCUUUUCUUGCUGGAUCUUGACGAUCCCAUAACUUCUUUUUCUCUUCGAUCUCCGCUCUCUCCAACCCUAAUCAAUAAUCAAAGUAAUAAUCCACAUUCAAAGGGUCUUGGUUCACAGCUACCCUCCUGAUGAGUUUUGAUACAAAAUAUAAGUUAGUUUUUCAUAAAAACCAGGAAAUGGAAGCUCAAAAAUAAGAAGUUUAUUUAUGAGUUUAUAACAAAACAAAACCAUCUAGGAUCAACUCAAAUAAGCACUAUAAGAGACAACUCAAGGAAGCUUUAAUUCACCAAACUAGCUUCAAAAGAGAGAAAGAGGGGAGUAGAAGAGAAGCUACAACUUAUUAUCAUGUAGAGACGAUCCAAGACCAAAAAACUAGUCCAAAAUUCAUGCAAGGCACUUGUCACACCCUCGAACCGGAACGGCGGAAACGUUCGAGGGCGGAUGGCUUCAUGUACAGUAUUAUAACAAUUAUAUAUAAAUGAAACAUAGCAACACAAACAUUCAUACAUUGAGAUUUCAAGUAUUACAUUGUUUACAAAACUUUGUUUGCUCGAAAAUUGAAUACAAAUAACGGAAAAGUAGAAAGCAUGAAAACGCGACGCUGGCCCUCAAAAUGGUUUGAAUACUUGUUUACUGAUUUCCUGAGAACAGAAAUGAUUUUGAAAAGUGUCAACAUCUAAGUUGGUGAGUCCAUAAGCAUUUUGUAUGAAAAGAGUUUGUAAUUGUUUUGCAUAAAAUGGUUUUGUCUACUUCCAGAAAAUCCGAUAUUUUCUUUAAAAACGAGUUGUAAGUCUUAUACCCAAGACUAAAAAUGUAUGUAUUUUCUUUGUAUCUUUUCCUUGUAAAAUGAUAAUGUAUGUUUUCAGAAAAUCCAAUAUUUUCUUAUAUAUGAACUGUAGUCUUAAACCCUAACACCAGAAAUAUAAGUAAUGUUGUACUGAAAGAUAGUAUGUAGUUUUAUCUUUUUAUAAAACUGAUGAAGUGUAAGCUUCCCGUAAAUCGAGUAGUAUUAUUAAUACCUAUGUGAGUUACUAUAACCAUGGUUAAUAUGACUGAUAUGCCUGAACGACGUUCUUCAGACGUCAGAAUUGAUAAAAAUUUGUCAUCGUAGACUUGCCGGUCUAGCUGUAGUGAACAACUGAGGUGUGGGGUUGUCAAUCCCGUUUAGAUCUAUACACAACUAUCUCGCUCCCCCUGUAGGAGACUCUGGUUAUAAUAAUGACUUAAAGUGUACGUUCGGUAGGUAUGGUGAAGAGAAUGUCUCACAAUAGCACCAACAGAUUUACGUGAACUAUGACUCCUUUUUCUUGUAAAAUGAAAUAAUUAUACCAUUAUAUAAUUAUAUGGUUCUUCUAAAAUGAAAGUGUGGUUUUGUGACUCCCAAACUUUACCAUUUAUAGUUUAUCUUGUAUGUUUUGUCAAGUCCAUUUAUAUAAUCAAAUAUAUAAAUACAUGUAAGUUAUCAUGUCUAGAUGUUUUAAAAGAUUAUAAUAUAUAAGCUUACAUCUAAACACAAGUAUAAAAACAUUUAGUAUGAUGAAGACAAUUUCUAGUUUUUGACUUUUCUGUCUAUGUUUUUAGAAAAAUUAUAGAAAAAUCAUCGUAAGUCAAAAUUUGGAUCCGUAAAGUCUCAGAGAUUAGAAAAUGAAUCUACUUUGUCCAUAAUAUUUUUCCUUGACCUUAAGUGGUUCCUAGCCUGAGUGAAAACAUUCAUUUUUACAGACUGGUCCGAAAAUGUUCUGAAAUGAUAGGCAGUUUUGUAAAACUCACCAUAGAUUGUAGAAAAAUCGUAUGAACGUGUGCGAGUAAUCCUUAAAAAGGUAUAGACAUGAACUAUUUUCAUAUUUAACAUUUUAAAAUAUAUGAAGUUUAAGUAGGGUAAAACAGUCUGUUAACAGACCACAACUUUUUUGUAAAAAGCUGUUUUUUAAGAUUAAAUAUGUUUUAGUGACAUAACUUGUAUUUUUAGUUUGCAAAGCCUUUAGAUUAUCCAAAUAGGAUUUGUUUACUUUNGUUUGUUUUUCCCCCCCCCCCCCAAAAAAAAAAAAAAACUUGGAAAAACUUGAAAAUGAAGGGGUAUGAACUAACCUUGAGUGUGUUUGUGGUUGGUUAAAGGGAUGAAGAUGAAGAUCCUCAAGCUUAGAACACUUGAAGAUGGUUGAAGAACAC